GAUGAAGAACGUAGCGAAAUGCGAUAAGUAGUGUGAAUUGCAGAAUUCAGUGAAUCAUCGAAUCUUUGAACGCACAUUGCGCCUUCUAGUAUUCUGGGAGGCAUGCCUGUUUGAGCGUCAUUAAACCUCUCUCAAGUAUGAUUACUUGGAUGUGAAGGAAGAGUACCUUAAACUUAAGGAGUGUUCUCCUUUGAAAUUGAUUAGCAGAUGGUAAUGUUAUUAAAUCCCUGAUGUUGUAAGAAAUAACAGUGGUUUUGUAGACUAUUAUCUAGCUUUAAAUUAUAAUUUUUAUUAUGGUUGACCUCAAAUCAGGUAAGGAUACCCGCUGAACUUAAGCAUAUCAAUUAGCGGAGGA
This 355-nucleotide unclassified non-coding RNA is filed under the name soil metagenome. Its description in RNAcentral is "partial contains 5.8S ribosomal RNA, internal transcribed spacer 2, and large subunit ribosomal RNA". The stretch from base 1 to 120 matches the Rfam family "5.8S ribosomal RNA", at positions 35 to 154 of the family's 154-position model. The record is from RNAcentral.